UUAAUAUUUGUGUGGAGCCUUGGGUGGAAAGAGGAGGUUCUGUCCGUUCGGCGUCUGUAGACGUACCCGAACCGAUCAAAUUGGCGGUCGCGGGGCGUGACAAUAUUUUCCCUCGUCGGCUUGCGGCGCGUGAUAUAGAAAGGUUUGUGUUGGUGAGGAUGGGUGUAGGAGCGGGAGGGGAGAGAAGGAGGUCAAGGGAAGAGGAAGACGAAGAAGAAGAUGAGGCGAGGAGGGUCAGAGAAUAGUGCAAUUUUCUCUAAAACAAUAUAAUUUUUUGUCGAAAGAGUGCAACUUUUGUUUCAAAUGGUAUAAUUUUCAUCUCAAAGAGUGCAACAUUCAUCUUAAACAGUGCAAUUUUCUUGUAAAACAGUACAAUUUUAUUUUAAUAGUGCAAUCUUCAUUUUCUUUUUCCUUUUUCUCUGAUUAUUAGAUUUUUUGAUAGCAGCAACGAUAUAUAAUGACCUUUCAAAGAGAAAAAAAUUUUGUUAUUUUUUUUUAAUUUUAUUGUUAUUAUUUUUUUCUUCUAUCCUUUGCAUUUUUGUUCGAUCUUUGGAGAUGGGCACGUCUU
Molecule: long non-coding RNA, 568 nt
Filed under: Ananas comosus (pineapple)
Lineage: Eukaryota; Viridiplantae; Streptophyta; Magnoliopsida; Poales; Bromeliaceae
Description: long non-coding RNA (ACOM_LNC001787)
Source: RNAcentral